RNAcentral lists this ribosomal RNA (253 nucleotides) under uncultured bacterium. RNAcentral's name for it is "partial 16S ribosomal RNA". It matches the Rfam family "Bacterial small subunit ribosomal RNA", at positions 524 to 776 of the family's 1533-position model. The record is from RNAcentral.
CACGUAGGGCGCGAGUGUUGUCCGGAAUUAUUGGGCGUAAAGAGCUCGUAGGCGGCCUGUUGCGUCCGCUGUGAAAGCCCGGGGCUUAACCCCGGGUCUGCAGUGGAUACGGGCAGGCUAGAGGUAGGUAGGGGAGAAUGGAAUUCCCGGUGUAGCGGUGAAAUGCGCAGAUAUCGGGAGGAACACCGGUGGCGAAGGCGGUUCUCUGGGCCUUACCUGACGCUGAGGAGCGAAAGCGUGGGGAGCGAACAGG